UUUGAAGUGAAACUAAAAUCACCGUAUUUGCUGUGUAUAUAUCUGGCCGAACAGCCGUUGUUUACCUCGGUGUCUUUUCACCAAGCGGUCGGCUUAUCUGUCGAGUGCGAAUUUAUUUUUAAUGACUGAAUUCCUGCUCCAUCUCUUUACGGGUAACUUUAGAAAAGACAUCGGGGAUUGCUUUUCUACAUCAGCUUCUGCCAUGCACGGGCUCUUCGCUGAAAGCUGCCAAAGCUGUUCGUUAACACAAGGCAGCUGAGAGGAGCUAACUACAGAAGAAAGACGACCAUUUGAUGGAAGAAAAGAAAAAGAAAAAACAAGAAGAAAAGACCAGCAAGGACGCUCAGAAUAAGGCUCCUGAUCAGAAACCCAAAGGUAAGUGUUUUGAUAAAGCAAAAUAUAAUUAACGUUUCAUUUGCAUUAUUUUGUUAAGCCCAUUUAGCAGCUGACCUAUUUUUGUCAGCUCAGAUUAAUGCAUGUACACAUUACUCGUGCACUGUAGUCAAGUAGCAUUUAGCUAUCUUGUACAACAUGAAACACACAUGCACAUUUAGCAAAUGUUUGCAAGAUUAUGCCCUUUAUAACACACAUCUACGAGUACAGCAGAUCAGGUAAAGGAUUGUGAUGCAGUGUGACACCCAGUUUACCUGUAGUACCAGGCUGUAAAGUAUGAAGGUCAUCCUGAUUGUGUAGAUAAAAUAUGGGAAAGUAUAUGACAGGACUGUACUUCCAUGUUAUCUUUAUUGUGUCUACCAUCAAACCUGACAAAUUUAUCUCGUUCUAUUAAUGUGAAUUAUGCAUUUAACUCUUUUGGGUCCAGAGGUAUUUUCUAGAUUUUACUAUACUUUCA
Molecule: long non-coding RNA, 850 nt
Organism: Thalassophryne amazonica
Lineage: Eukaryota; Metazoa; Chordata; Actinopteri; Batrachoidiformes; Batrachoididae
Exons: 4
Source: RefSeq, a predicted model, not a curated record